RNAcentral lists this long non-coding RNA (2618 nucleotides) under Salmo salar (Atlantic salmon). RNAcentral's name for it is "lncRNA (ENSSSAG00000082158.1)". Lineage: Eukaryota; Metazoa; Chordata; Actinopteri; Salmoniformes; Salmonidae. The record is from RNAcentral.
GGACAUUAUUAUCACAAAGCGGUAUCAACGCUCACCUAAAAAGCCAAUGUGCCACUGGUUGAAAGAAACUGUCACUGGUUUCGGGCAUUUGGAGGUGCGUCUUGGUCAGUUAAGCUCAGAAAAUGCCGCCGUGAAUACAAUGAAUGGUGAGCUUCUCUAAUGUACUGUAGCUAGCUAGCCCUAACCCUAAUGUACUGUAGCUAGCUAGCCCUAACCCUAAUGUACUGUAGCUAGCUAACCCUAAUGUACUGUAGCUAGCUAACCCUAACCCUAAUGUUCUGUAGCUAGCUAGCCCUAACCCUAAUGUACUGUAGCUAGCUAACCCUGACCCUAAUGUACUGUAGCUAGCUAGCCCUAAUGUACUGUAGCUAGCUAACCCUAAUGAACUGUAGCUAGCUAGCCCUAACCCUAAUGUACUGUAGCUAGCUAGCCCUAACCCUAAUGUACUGUAGCUAGCUAGCCCUAACCCUAAUGUACUGUAGCUAGCUAACCCUAAUGUACUGUAGCUAGCUAACCCUAACCCUAAUGUACUGUAGCUAGCUAACCCUGACCCUAAUGUACUGUAGCUAGCUAGCCUAACCCUAAUGUACUGUAGCUAGCUAGCCUAACCCUGACCCUAAUGUACUGUAGCUAGCUAGCCCUAAUGUACUGUAGCUAGCUAGCCUAACCCUGACCCUAAUGUACUGUAGCUAGCUAACCCUAAUGUACUGUAGCUAGCCUAACCCUAAUGUACUGUAGCUAGCUAGCCCUAACCCUAAUGUACUGUAGCUAGCUAGCCCUAACCCUAAUGUACUGUAGCUAGCUAGCCCUAACCCUAAUGUACUGUAGCUAGCUAGCCUAACCCUGACCCUAAUGUACUGUAGCUAGCUAGCCUAACCCUAAUGUACUGUAGCUAGCUAGCCCUAACCCUAAUGUACUGUAGCUAGCUAGCCCUAACCCUAAUGUACUGUAGCUAGCUAGCCCUAACCCUAAUGUACUGUAGCUAGCUAGCCUAACCCUAAUGUACUGUAGCUAGCUAGCCUAACCCUAAUGUACUGUAGCUAGCCUAACCCUAAUGUACUGUAGCUAGCUAACCCUAAUGUACUGUAGCUAGCCUAACCCUAAUGUACUGUAGCUAGCUAGCCCUAACCCUAAUGUACUAUAGGUAGCUAGCCUAACCCUGACCCUAAUGUACUGUAGCUAGCUAACCCUAAUGUACUGUAGCUAGCCUAACCCUAAUGUACUGUAGCUUGCUAGCCUAACCCUAAUGUACUGUAGCUAGCUAGCCCUAACCCUAAUGUACUGUAGCUAGCUAGCCUAACCCUAAUGUACUGUAGCUAGCUAGCCUAACCCUGACCCUAAUGUACUGUAGCUAGCUAGCCUAACCCUAAUGUACUGUAGCUAGCUAGCCCUAACCCUAAUGUACUGUAGCUAGCUAGCCCUAACCCUAAUGUACUGUAGCUAGCUAGCCCUAACCCUAAUGUACUGUAGCUAGCUAGCCUAACCCUAAUGUACUGUAGCUAGCUAGCCUAACCCUAAUGUACUGUAGCUAGCCUAACCCUAAUGUACUGUAGCUAGCUAACCCUAAUGUACUGUAGCUAGCCUAACCCUAAUGUACUGUAGCUAGCUAGCCCUAACCCUAAUGUACUAUAGGUAGCUAGCCUAACCCUGACCCUAAUGUACUGUAGCUAGCUAACCCUAAUGUACUGUAGCUAGCCUAACCCUAAUGUACUGUAGCUUGCUAGCCUAACCCUAAUGUACUGUAGCUAGCUAGCCCUAACCCUAAUGUACUGUAGCUAGCUAGCCUAACCCUAAUGUACUGUAGCUAGCUAGCCCUAACCCUAAUGUACUGUAGCUAGCUAGCCCUAACCCUAAUGUACUGUAGCUAGCUAGCCUAACCCUAAUGUACUGUAGCUAGCUAGCCUAACCCUAAUGUACUGUAGCUAGCUAGCUAACCCUAAUGUACUGUAGCUAGCUAGCCCUGACCCUAAUGUACUGUAGCUAGCUAGCCCUGACCCUAAUGUACUGUAGCUAGCUAGCCCUGACCCUAAUGUACUGUAGCUAGCUAGCCUAACCCUAAUGUACUGUAGCUAACUAGCCCUAAUGUACUGUAGCUAGCUAACCCUAAUGUACUGUAGCUAGCUAGCCCUGACCCUAAUGUACUGUAGCUAGCUAGCCCUAACCCUAAUGUACUGUAGCUAGCUAGCCUAACCCUAAUGUACUGUAGCUAGCUAGCCUAACCCUAAUGUACUGUAGCUAGCUAGCCUAACCCUAAUGUACUGUAGCUAGCUAGCUAACCCUAAUGUACUGUAGCUAGCUAGCCCUAAUGUACUCCCUAAUGUACUGUAGCUAGCUAACCCUAAUGUACUGUAGCUAGCUAGCCUAACCCUAAUGUACUGUAGCUAGCUAGCCUAACCCUAAUGUACUGUAGCUAGCUAGCCUAACCCUAAUGUACUGUAGCUAGCUAACUAACCCUAACACUGCACCACUCGGUAGAAAACUCUUUCAGCUGAAUAAUAUUUCCAUCAAAAAGGUUCGCUAGCAACACGGUGUUUGAAUACACUAUCAAAAGUACAUGAAGUUUUACUUGUUGUAAACGUUUAUACCAUAUGAGCAUUCGGCCACCGGUGAACACAUAC